GCAUAAAACAUGUAAGUCGAACGGGUGGAAGCCGCAAGGCUGAAGCCAGUGGCGGACGGCUGAGUAACGCGUAGGUGACUUGCCCAGAAGUGGGGAAUAACGAUUCGAAAGAAUCGCUAAUACCGCAUGAGGUUGUGCGUAUAGACACGUGCAACGAAAGCUCGCAAGGGCGCUUUUGGAGAGGCCUGCGUCCGAUUAGCUAGUUGGUGGGGUAAUGGCCUACCAAGGCUCCGAUCGGUAGCUGAUCUGAGAGGAUGAUCAGCCAGACUGGGACUGAGACACGGCCCAGACUCCUACGGGAGGCAGCAGUUAGGAAUUUUGCACAAUGGGGGAAACCCUGAUGCAGCAACGCCGCGUGGAUGAAGAAGGCCUUCGGGUCGUAAAAUCCUUUUCAACGGGAAGAAACGGACGGUACCGUUGGAAUAAGCAUCGGCUAACUACGUGCCAGCAGCCGCGGUAAUACGUAGGAUGCAAGCGUUAUCCGGAUUUACUGGGCGUAAAGAGCGCGUAGGUGGUUUCGUAAGUUGGGCGUGAAAGCCCCCGGCUUAACUGGGGAGGGUCGUCCAAAACUACGAGACUUGAGGGUGGAAGAGGAGAUUGGAAUUCCCGGUGUAGUGGUGAAAUGCGUAGAUAUCGGGAGGAACACCUGUGGUGAAGACGAAUCUCUGGGCCACUCCUGACACUGAGGCGCGAAAGCGUGGGGAGCGAACGGAAUUAGAUACUCCGGUAGUC
RNAcentral lists this ribosomal RNA (732 nucleotides) under uncultured bacterium. RNAcentral's name for it is "bacterial SSU rRNA". It matches the Rfam family "Bacterial small subunit ribosomal RNA", at positions 46 to 795 of the family's 1533-position model. The record is from RNAcentral.